This 602-nucleotide ribosomal RNA is filed under the name Exidia saccharina. RNAcentral's name for it is "eukaryotic LSU rRNA". It matches the Rfam family "Eukaryotic large subunit ribosomal RNA", at positions 72 to 659 of the family's 3401-position model. The record is from RNAcentral. Lineage: Eukaryota; Fungi; Basidiomycota; Agaricomycetes; Auriculariales; Exidiaceae.
GGAUUCCCCUAGUAACGGCGAGUGAAGCGGGAAGAGCUCAAAUUUGAAAUCUGGCGGUCUCAGGCCGUCCGAGUUGUAAUCUAGAGAGGUGUUUUCCGUGCCGGACCGUGUACAAGUCCCUUGGAACAGGGCGUCAUAGAGGGUGAGAAUCCCGUCCAUGACACGGACUCCCGGUGCUCUGUGAUACGCCUUCAAAGAGUCGAGUUGUUUGGGAAUGCAGCUCAAAACGGGUGGUAAAUUCCAUCUAAAGCUAAAUACAGGCGAGAGACCGAUAGCGAACAAGUACCGUGAGGGAAAGAUGAAAAGAACUUUGGAAAGAGAGUUAAACAGUACGUGAAAUUGUUGAAAGGGAAACGCUUGAAGUCAGUCGCGUCUGCCGGGACUCAGCCUUGCUUCUGCUUGGUGCACUUCCCGGUGGAUGGGCCAGCAUCGAUUUUGGCCGCCGGAAAAGGGCGGGGGGAAUGUGGCAGCUUGCUGUGUUAUAGCCUCCCGUCGUACACGGUGGUUGGGAUCGAGGAUUGCAGCACGCCUUUUGGUCGGGGUUCGCCCACGCCACGUGCUUAGGAUGCUGGCGUAAUGGCUUUAAACGACCCGUCUUGAAC